Molecule: long non-coding RNA, 360 nt
Filed under: Manihot esculenta (cassava)
Lineage: Eukaryota; Viridiplantae; Streptophyta; Magnoliopsida; Malpighiales; Euphorbiaceae
Description: long non-coding RNA (MESC_LNC009002)
Source: RNAcentral
AAAAUACAGAAAAUGUUGGGACGAGGCUUGCUUGUUGGCAGUAUGAUCUUAUUGCUAGUGUUUUCAUUUGAUGCUGCGUUGGCUGUUCCAACAAAAUUCUUCAAUCCAAGUAAGUAUAAAUUAACCACUUUGUUCAUAAAAUUAUUUUUAUUAAAAAUUGGCAAACCAGACAAAAUUUUCUCAUUGGCUAAUAAUAUUAAUUUAUUGCGUUAAACUGUUUGCAGGAGAGAUGAACAAAGGGAAGCAUGAAAGUCUGAAGGAAAAUAAAGCCGGUACGCGUGGUUCUCAUUCGCCGCCGUCCGGUCCGGGUUCUAGCCCUCCAACAAAAAGUUGAAAGACCAAGUUGCACCAGUUUAGCUA